This 90-nucleotide ribosomal RNA is filed under the name Neobacillus sp. BSR1-1. The record is from RNAcentral. Lineage: Bacteria; Bacillati; Bacillota; Bacilli; Caryophanales; Bacillaceae.
CCCGUUCCCAUACCGAACACGGAAGUUAAGCUUCUCAGCGCCGAUGGUAGUUGGGGCACGCGCCCCUGUGAGAGUAGGACGUUGCCAGGC